Molecule: long non-coding RNA, 3413 nt
Filed under: Homo sapiens (human)
Lineage: Eukaryota; Metazoa; Chordata; Mammalia; Primates; Hominidae
Description: HSALNT0242249
Source: RNAcentral
CUCUUCCCCAGAACAGUCGAGAAAGGAGGGGACACUUUCCCCCUUGCUGGGUCUCCUCACCUCAGGAGCCCUUCCUGGAAUAUGAGUCUGGGGGAACGCGAGGGUUCCAUUGGCAGGUUAGAAAGAAGGGGCCCCAGCUUCUUGGCUCCCAGGGAAGGCCCUAGGCUGGAUUGUCUCAAGGAGCGGGUGGGUGAGGGCAGGACGCCGGUGGACAAGGGCAAAGCUGUCUGCAGAUCCCUCAGCUCUGCAGGGACACAGCAGAGUCAGCGGCUGGACACCAGGAACUGUCUGAGCUGCCAGCAAGGGGGCUCCAGGGUGGGCGUUGCGUUGUGCCAGUAGACAUGUCUGCCACAGCCCCUUUCCCAACUGAAGUGUUUGUUCCGUUCACUGUUCCCCGCUCCCCUCUGCCUAGAAGCUGCGCCUAGCCAUCCUCCCUCCCAGGAACUGCAGCGGGUGAGAGGUUGCAUUUUGAAUACCCUUGGGUGAGUUGUUUAAAGGACCUGGUGCCCUGAUCACUGCCACUGUGGGCCUGUGUAGAUGGACUCCUUUGCAAUUUUCCAGCUCAGGGUGCGUGUGUGUGUGUGUGCGAGUGUGUCUGUGUGUGUGCCUGUGUGUGCCUGUACCUGUGUGUGUGUGUGUGCACCCACACGGGUGUGCCUGUGUGUGUGCACCUAUGUGUGUGUGGCUGUGUGCAUGUGUGCACCUGUGUAUGUGCAAGCCUGAGUGUGUGGCUGUGGUGCGCCUGUGUGCAUAUGUGUGUGUGCCUGUGUGCGCCUGCACGCACUUGUGUGUGUGUGUGUGUGUGUGUGUGUGUGUUCUGAGCUGUGGGGAGGGAGCUCUGCUGGGGUCCGUGGCUUGUCGUGAGUGCUCUGCUCCACCUUGUCCCCUCCCCCACGUUCCAAACACCCCUCUCUUUCCAGCCUGGCUGUUGUGGUGAAGCUAAUCAGAGGUAAUUACGGGGGAAGGAGGGAUCCUGAGAGGGACCCCACAGAGACCACCUCAUCCGCCCCAGCCCAGCCCUGGUGGCCCUGGCCUCCAGGGCCUAGGCCAGCUCAGUCUUGCCUGGUGAGGGUGAACCCACCAACACCCCACCCCAUGGUCCUCUCUCUCCCGCCCACUCCCCAUUCCCACAGCUGCAGGUAAGGUUCACACAUCUGGGUUUUCCUCAAUCUCCCCAAAGCUGCUCCAUAUGCACUCAUUCAUUUCAGAUUUUCUGGGCACCUCCUCUAAGCCAAAGCCCACACUGGGCACCUGACAAAAACUGGUCCCUACCCUCAUGGAGCAGCUGCUAGGAUUUUGGUCAGGGUAGACUUUGCAGGGGCUGGGGGCAUAGCCUUGGAAAGGCAGAGGGUCCCUGCAGAAUCACAAGCCCCUUCAGGGGAGGGCCUCCCUUCUACCACCUUGCUGAUGCCAGAGGAGUGGAGCUUACCAGCCCAGAGCUUCUCGACUUCCACCACUCCUAGCCUGUCAUGGCGCCCAUCCUCCCUCCCACCCAGUGUUGAUGGGUGUCAGGCCACACCCUGCUCUGUCUCCCUGUCCUGACCACCUGUCCUCCUCCUGCAGCUUCCUCCAUCCACUUGGGUUCCCCCUGCUUUUCUGCUGGGGUGGGAAGGGGGUCUCUCUGCAGUGCAGAGAGGCUGGAUUGAGAGCAGCAUCUCUCAGUCACCUCCUUGGGGUUCACGGCCCCAAGCUGGGAGAGCCCUUAGAGACCAAGAAGAUCAGCUGUCUCUCACACCCUAGGAAAUUGAGGCCCAACGGGAUGGGGAGUCCAAGGAGUCAGGGUCAGCGGAAUUAAACCCCAGUCUCUGACUCCCAGUCCAGUGCUCUUUCUGGGGAGUCCUCCCCGAGCCUGCAUCUGGAGGACAGAGUCCAGGCCUGUUCCUUCUCCCAUCCCCUCACUGUGCCCAGAAGGAGAGAGGAGCAAACAGGGGUCCCCACCAUCCUGCCUUUCUGUCCUGCCCCACUAGCCUGGGCCCAGAGACAAGGCCGUGGGGUGGGAGGGACCACAGGGGGCUUCGUUGAGGGUCUCUAAUUUCCUCCUGCUCCUUGAUGUCCAGAGCAAAACAGGCCUCCUCUGCCCAAGAGAUUUCCAAGCAUAAACAGAGGUCAGCGCCCCCCUUGCCCCGGAGGUGCCAAGGUGGUAAUUAGGCUUGGGGGUGCAUCCUGGAAGGGUGGGGGUGGGGCGGCCAUUAUCCUGGGGAGCUGCGCUGGGCAGAGGAGCUGUGCGGUCUGGGCAAAUGGGUGGUUUGUAGGUGGUCUGGGGAAUGAAUGACUGAGUGUUUGGGAGGGAAGCUUGCGGGAGGGAGGUGGAGGGGGAGGGAGCAGAGGGAUUGGAGAGUAGAGCCCGGAGUCUUCCCCCCAGUUCACUGGUCUGAGCCCUUGCUCUCAUUCUGGAGGCAUCACUCUGAGACAUAUAGGGUGGGGGGUGGUCUUGGGGAUGCCGCCUGGACAGUGGAACACCUGGGGCGCUGUAGCAGGGAGCAGGCUCUCUGCUGAGAUCAGGGGCUCUGGAGAGUCACCAUCUCCCCACCUGCUCCCUCAGCUUCUGGAAGGGUGCAGGGAGGAGGCGGGUGGAGGUGGUUCUUGCACAGGGUCCCUGGCAUGCUGCAGGGUGCUGGCUAAAGCACUCCUGUGCUGAGCCUGCUCCCGCUUUGUCCCCACUUCCAGCCGUGUCUAACCCCUCUCACGGUGGGGACAAAUUCCUUCUGGGAUGAGAAAGACCCUUUGACUCUCAACCCCAGGAGCUGCAGAUCCACAAGUCCCCCUGCUCUGACCCCCACAAUGCCCCAUCCACUGCUGCUCCGGGUCAGGCUGCACCAGGAAUGGUUACCCGGAACCCAUGACUGGCUGUGACCCCUGGCAUAGGGACAAGGACCAUGGCUGGCAGAAGGUGGGGUGAGUAGGUCAUGGGUAGGGGUGGGGCUGCUGGGACUGUCCACUGGCAUCCUGCCCAGGCCCCGGGCACAUUCCUCCUCCCCCGUGCUCCCUACCUGCCGGAUACCACCUGUGCUGCGAGUACCACCACUCACAUGGCCUCUGCAGCAAGAGAGACUGCAGUGAGACUACCAGACACAGCUGCCCUGAGGAAAACAUUGAACUAGGGGAGUGGCCCCUAUCUGGAAAGCCUGCUGGGGCAUCUUAGCCACUGACCAGCACAGAGGAGACGAGCGUCUGUGUCCUGGUUUCAUCUUGUGUCCUUCGGGAGUCUGGAAGCAUCUUCAGAACAGGGGCUGGGUCUCCACCCUCAGAUUGAGUAGUGGUUCCCAGAGGCCAGCUCCUGUGUCCCUCUGUGGCAGGAAUUGAGCCCUCACCAUCACAUCAGAUUCUUUUUUUUUUUUUUUUUUUUGAGACGGAGUCUCGCUCUGUCGCCCAGGCUGGAGUGUAGUGGCGGGAUCUCGGCUCACUGCAAGCUC